GAAACCCUUGGAGGAGGAACACUGGAGAGUCCUACAAUGGAUGUCAGGACAGACAAAGCGGACCAGGAACCCUCUGGAUGGUGACGUUCUCCAGGUGCAGGACAGGCAAGAUGCACAGCCCUACAUCAGAAACUAUCUGAGAGUCAGCUUCCAAGGGGCCACUCUAAGGAUCGUCAGGAGUAGAUGGGAACCUCUACACAGAGCCUUCUGGGGAAUCUUCUAAAUCAGACACGAUUUCUCAGGGCUUGGUGUGAUGUCGACCUAUGAGGAACUGGAGGUGCAUUUGCAUUGUUGCUUUUCACAUGAGUCUUUUCUUUUGUCUUUUGCCUUGACGUAUCUGAGCUUUGGACUGUCCUGAUGCUUUGUCUGUGCUCUUCUGCUGUUUCGUGUUAGGGUUGUUGUCAAAGGUCUUAGAGCAGAUUCUUUGUUGGUUCUGUUGGCAGUGUCUCUGUAGCUCUGACUAUGGCAUCGUCAGGAGAGUUGCACAGGCCUGAUUAGGAAAACAGAGAUGUUCCAAUUUAACACCAAAUAAACAUUUUACCAAAUUCCCCCACACACUAAACCUUAACUCUAUAAUCUCUUUUUCUCACCAAAACCCAUUCACAUGUAUGUACUCGCUUAAAAACAAAAAACUGUUUAAACAACCAAAUAGGCAAAAUAUAUUUACUACGGUUCAACCGUCUGUCAUCUGUUGACACUCGAGAAUUUUCCUUUUCAGCUGUCUUUCUUUUUUCUUUUGAGCUUGUUUACACCACGGUUGAAAGGUCUCUCUUGUUCUGACUGUUCGGGGGGUAGCAGAGGGGAGAGGAGGACUUAUUACAACACACAUGAAGCAGUCUUGUAAAAUUUAAAAAUAAAAUACUAAUUAGUGUGUUUUUCUUCUGUUUAAAAGUCACUGCUUUACAAAAGCCAUUUCAGGUUGUAAAACAAACACCCUCACACAAUACUACCCCAAUUGGUUUUGUUUUUUUCCUACUAUUAGUGUUUCUCCAAAACAUAGACACAUGUUUUUAAUACAACCUCAUUUCCCCCAUGGACCCCAAAACAAAGUUUGCAACAAAAUACUUUAAC
This is a long non-coding RNA of Mauremys mutica (yellowpond turtle), 1071 nucleotides long. RefSeq lists it as uncharacterized. The transcript has 3 exons. NCBI's taxonomy places the organism in Eukaryota, Metazoa, Chordata, Testudines, Geoemydidae. The record is from RefSeq and is a predicted model, not a curated record.